Molecule: ribosomal RNA, 186 nt
Filed under: Salmonella enterica
Lineage: Bacteria; Pseudomonadati; Pseudomonadota; Gammaproteobacteria; Enterobacterales; Enterobacteriaceae
Description: partial 16S ribosomal RNA
Rfam family: Bacterial small subunit ribosomal RNA
Source: RNAcentral
AAAUUGAAGAGUUUGAUCAUGGCUCAGAUUGAACGCUGGCGGCAGGCCUAACACAUGCAAGUCGAACGGUAGCACAGAGAGCUUGCUCUCGGGUGACGAGUGGCGGACGGGUGAGUAAUGUCUGGGAAACUGCCUGAUGGAGGGGAAUAACUACUGGAAACGGUGGCUAAUACCGCAUAACGUCGC